GGCCAGACUCCUACGGGAGGCAGCAGUGGGGAAUAUUGCACAAUGGGGGAAACCCUGAUGCAGCGACGCCGCGUGAGUGAAGAAGUAUUUCGGUAUGUAAAGCUCUAUCAGCAGGGAAGAAAAUGACGGUACCUGACUAAGAAGCCCCGGCUAACUACGUGCCAGCAGCCGCGGUAAUACGUAGGGGGCAAGCGUUAUCCGGAUUUACUGGGUGUAAAGGGAGCGUAGACGGCAUGGCAAGUCAGAUGUGAAAGCCCGGGGCUCAACCCCGGGACUGCAUUUGAAACUGUCAGGCUGGAGUGCAGGAGAGGUAAGUGGAGUUCCUAGUGUAGCGGUGAAAUGCGUAGAUAUUAGGAGGAACACCAGUGGCGAAGGCGGCUUACUGGACUGUAACUGACGUUGAGGCUCGAAAGCGUGGGGAGCAAACAGGAUUAGAUACCCUAGUA
RNAcentral lists this ribosomal RNA (446 nucleotides) under uncultured bacterium. RNAcentral's name for it is "bacterial SSU rRNA". It matches the Rfam family "Bacterial small subunit ribosomal RNA", at positions 329 to 792 of the family's 1533-position model. The record is from RNAcentral.